GACGAACGCUGGCGGCGUGCCUAAUACAUGCAAGUAGAACGCUGAAGAGAGGAGCUUGCUCUUCUUGGAUGAGUUGCGCACGGGUGAGUAACGCGUAGGUAACCUGCCUUGUAGCGGGGGAUAACUAUUGGAAACGAUAGCUAAUACCGCAUAACAAUGGAUGACCCAUGUCAUUUAUUUGAAAGGGGCAAAUGCUCCACUACAAGAUGGACCUGCGUUGUAUUAGCUAGUAGGUGAGGUAACGGCUCACCUAGGCGACGAUACAUAGCCGACCCGAGAGGGUGAUCGGCCACACUGGGACUGAGACACGGCCCAGACUCCUACGGGAGGCAGCAGUAGGGAAUCUUCGGCAAUGGGGGCAACCCUGACCGAGCAACGCCGCGUGAGUGAAGAAGGGUUUCGGAUCGUAAAGCUCUGUUGUAAGUCAAGAACGAGUGUGAGAGUGGAAAGUUCACACUGUGACGGUAGCUUACCAGAAAGAGACGGCUAACUACGUG
RNAcentral lists this ribosomal RNA (497 nucleotides) under uncultured bacterium. RNAcentral's name for it is "partial 16S ribosomal RNA". It matches the Rfam family "Bacterial small subunit ribosomal RNA", at positions 28 to 507 of the family's 1533-position model. The record is from RNAcentral.